CAUUUCUUCUGCUUAAAAAUAUCUUUAUGUAGAUGUUACUUUUUUACAUAAAUUUAACUCUGUCUUUCCUUGAAUGCAUCUAAACAUUUUUGCUUCUCAUUGUUGUGUCUACUCAUAGGUAUAAAAGAAGUUAUUUUUAUGUCUGACAAAUAUCACGAUACUGUGGAGAUGACAGCUGCACGGCGCUUGUUUGAUUUAGCUGGAAUUAUAUACAGGAAAUUCAAACCUAAGUGCAGUAAGAUAGUCAUUGAUUUUGAUUCAAUUAACAGCAGACCGUGUCAAAAGCCUCUGUGAGUUACAUCUAAUUAAAUCUCUAGAAGAUUGUGAUGAUCCUUUUCUUAGAAGCUGCUAAUGCCUUUCAUCUUGAAGUUUGGCAUAACUUUUUAAUAGCCCACUACAGUUGUAAGUAGACAUCUAAGGAAUAUGUCAGGCCCAGAAAAUUUUGUCCUCCUUGCCAUAUGUUUUAAGCUUUGACUUCCUGGAGUUUUCCAAAUCUUUUCUAAAUGGAACCUAUAGGUGAGGUCUGGACUUGUGUAUGAACAAUAGGAAAGGUGUAUUCACUGUGCCAACAUCUGAUGUGAAUGAAGAGAACCAAAGUCACAAGCAAUAACCUUUGAAUAUUGGCUCGAUCAAGAAAGCUGCUGGAUAGCUUGUAUGGUGACAUGUAAACUGUAGGAAUGCAUCUACCAGCCUAGCAGGUAUGCAUAAAACACAAACUAUUGAAAAUGUCAUUUUUCAAGCAAUAUGGCUAGAUGUCUCUAUAACAGUCAAAAUAUUGUGUUGUGUGAAAUCCAUACUGGUACAUUACACCUUGAUAUUUUACCAGAUGUUCAUCUCUUUAAUUGCUUCUCCUGUUGCAGUGUAGCGUGUGAGCAUGUGUUCAAUUAUGUUUGAAGAAUGUUUUGUAUUGGAUGUAGUUUCAGAGUAGCUUUAAUUCCUUUCCCCCAAGAUACCUUCCAUUUAGCAGAGGAUAAGUGCAUAAAUCAUUAGGCUUUCACCUAUGGGACUCUGUUUGGAACUGAUUUAAUGUCUAAAAGGAGACACAUUUAUUGGUCUAAAUCUCUACUAGACAAUCCAGCACAUUACAAUUCUGGGAUCAGCCUCUAAGGUAACUUAAUCACUGCUUUCCCUCUAAGGGAAAUGAGGAGAUUCAGUCCGCACUGAGGUUGAACAUGCCAAAUGUCAUAAUUAUGGUUUUAGCUUGCUUUUAGUUGUUAAAAACUGGCCCUGUGCCAUAAGUUCUGGAAACACAGGCUAAAACUAUCAAGGGCUUUCAAUAUCUCCCUUUCUAUUUGAUUUUGGGAGGGAAUGCCUAAUUGUGCAUGUUUAGAAAAUGUUUCCAACCCCAAAGGUAUUCAUGUUUUUUAAACAUUGUGAUGUUUUCCUGGACUCUUAUUUUCUAUGUUGAAACCAUUCUGUAGAUUAAGACAUUGUGUAAUUUGGCUUGCCACCAGUAUUAUUAAAGUCUUAUUAAAAUCCUA
This is a non-coding RNA of Podarcis muralis (Common wall lizard), 1481 nucleotides long. NCBI's taxonomy places the organism in Eukaryota, Metazoa, Chordata, Lepidosauria, Squamata, Lacertidae. The record is from RefSeq and is a predicted model, not a curated record.